AAGUAUUAAAAUUAUUAUUCAAAACUAUUUAUUAAUGGCGGCUUUAUAUCUUAAUUAGAGAAAUUUGUUUUCUAAUCGAUAAUCCACGCUAAAUUUCACUUUAUUUAAAAAAUUAGUAUACCGCCGUCACCAAUUUCUUCUUAUUAGAAUAAAUAAAACAGAACAUUAUCUAACAAAUCAGGUCAAGGUGCUAUUUAUAAUAAAGAAAAAAUGAAUUUCUAUUAUAACUAAUUAUGGAAAUUAAACUAAAAUUAACUUUGAAAUAGAAUUUAAAUUUAAAUAAAUCUUAAAAUUAUUUAUUAAAAACAGAACUUAAAGUGC
Molecule: ribosomal RNA, 321 nt
Filed under: Pritha nana
Lineage: Eukaryota; Metazoa; Arthropoda; Arachnida; Araneae; Filistatidae
Description: partial 12S ribosomal RNA
Source: RNAcentral